This 3011-nucleotide long non-coding RNA is filed under the name Homo sapiens (human). RNAcentral describes it as "HSALNT0405792". Lineage: Eukaryota; Metazoa; Chordata; Mammalia; Primates; Hominidae. The record is from RNAcentral.
AAUAAGCAUCGGGCUUCAAGUCAGAAGGCUCUGGUUUGCUACGUAGCUUAAGCUGGGUGUGCCUGGGCAUUCGCCCAGGUCUCUGCCUCUGCAGCAAAACGGGGGUGACCAAACCAGCCCCACAGAUUGAUUAUGAAGAGUAAAUGUGGUCCCAUGGCAUCAUCAUAUAUGAGAAACACCUCAAUACAUUGAGCACGAACGUCAACAAUGGUGAUUAAAUUACAGGCAGUCAGGCAGGGCUGGCCUCUUUCUGACUUGUGAUCUGAACCGUGGAGCUCACGUGUUCAGAAUGAACAUCACCUCACUGGAGUUCAAGGCUCUGCAACUCGUACGUGCUUCAGAAUCCCUGGGAAGCUAAACGUUAAGAUCCUUUUGAAGUCUGAACUCUGGCUGACAGAACGUAAGAGGGACAGAAGAAGAUCUUCCUGCUAUAAUGCCAGGGCCCAGUACCCACACUGGGGGCCUGUGGUGCCCAAGGUGUCUCCAGCCAGGCCUAUGCCUGAGAGUUAAGAGAGGACACAGCAACAAGUUGGCGCCAUGUCUAUUUCCUCUUGGGAUCCAUGGUGCCUACGCAGAGUCUGGCCCAGAGCAAGGAUUAAGGGUCUUGGCCGAAAAAAAGUGAAGCUUAUUUUAAGCAAGAACUUAAAACAGACUCUCACCUAAGGACCACCACCCAGGCGAGGGCUUCUUGGGCCAUUAACAUCCUUGACCUCAAAGAUGGAAAUUGCAAGAUGGGAGACUGAGAGUGCCGUUCAAGGUUCCCUAAUGUGAGCCAUUGGAGACAUGGCUGGGAUCAACUUUAACCUAUCUCUGCUCAAAAGGUGUCAACCUUGUCCACAUCAGCCAGGAUGUCAAGGUGGAGAGGAUAGAAAUUCCGGAUCUGGCUGAGUCUAGUGCCCACCAGAGAAAACUUUGGCCUUUAAUCUGGGAUUUUUACAUCAUUUUCUUCUCUAACAGAGGGAGAGAGAGGGGCAUGAGUUGGGUCCACCAAUUGGGACAAGCAGGUCCAACCUGCUUCUCUGCUGUCUUCAAUUCCAUUCAGACCCCUACGCCCUGCUGCCUAGCACCUCCACCUUCCCCUCUGGGGCUCCAGCAAAGAGGAAGGCAGUCAGAACCACUCCAAAGGGUCCAAUCUCCUUGCAUUCCAGCCCUGGCCAAAGUCAGCCCGGGAACAAGUGGAGAGCCCCUCUUGAAGGAAGUGAUUCAGAAACCAUGAUGGCCUGGCGGCCCGCCGUGACUCACAGCACAUCAAUGGGGGAAUUGUCUGUAGAAGCCGAGAAUUCCAAAGCUCUUUUCUUUCCUUUCUUACUUACUUUCUUUUUUUUCUUUCUUUCUUUCUUUUUUGCCCUCCCCUUGGCGGCAUUGUGCAACAGCAGGGCUGCCCAGAAACAUGUGGUUUUCAUCAUUGGCUCCACAGCUGCCCUAGAGCACUGUGGAGAAAAUAAGAUGGAGAGGGAACAGGAUACAAGGGGACCUGUCGCGGUCAAGCAGGGUCCUUCUCUUUCCCCCCACCUUUCUUGUCAACACCAACAUCCUCAAAGAGCAUCUGGAACGGAAGGGAAUAGAAUUUUGGAUCUGGGAGAAAACUUAGAGUAUGUCUCAUCCAAUAACUCUAUGUACAGAUGAGGAAACUGAGGCCUCAAGAGGGGACGUAAGUGGCUUGGCAAAUGUCCACAGCCAAGUUGCAUCUUGCAUCUUGCUGCAGUGACUGACUUUUCUUAGCCUCCAAGUCAGGAAAUGUAGUUUGACAAAGGAUAAUUUUUUUCCAUGGAAUGUGACAGAUGAAAAGUCAUACCAAGUUUAGUUAUAAAUCUCUCCAUUGUCCCUUUCCCCUUAUCUACCAGUCUAGGGAGUCUGUUUUACCCGGAGUCAUCUGUGGGGACACGUGCAAAAUCUAAAGGUCUUUUUGCAGUUGUCAUCUGAUUGGUCAUCUCUGUAGCAUGUGAAUUAAUGUCCACAGGUUUCCAGGUAUUCCCCCUAUGCAUCCACUCCUACCUCUGCAACGUCUCCUUUUCGGCAUUCUUUUCUCCUCCCUUGGCUCUCAGAUGCCUUAGUUCUAUAGGGCUGUCUUAUCUUAACUCAUAUCCAUGUUCACGGUUUCAGUGGCUAUCAUUCAGCUGAGGACUCCCAAAUCUUAUCUAUAGUCUGUUCAUCAUUCCUGAGCUACAGACGUGUACAUACAGCUGCCUUCUCAGUGCCUUUCUUGGAUUCCCCAGAUGGAACUCAUCAUUUCCCUCCAUAGCUCUUUGACUACUUUGAUUUUAUUACCAAGUAACUAUGGGACCAAUAUAGUCAGUGUUCCAAAGCACAUGCUUUGGCAUCUUAUUGACCUGGGCCUGACUCCCAGAUAUGCCACUUAACUGGCUACGGGUCUUUGGCCAAGUUACUGACCUUUCCAAGUUCCUCAUCUGUAAAAUGGGGGUAAUAAAAAUACCUACUUCAUAAGGCUGUCAUUAAGAGGAAAUGAGUUAAUACAAUAGCAUUAACACAAUGCCUGGCACAUAAUAAAUACUCAAUUACUGCUGAGCUGUUAUUUUUAUUAUGUACCUCAGCAUCCUCCCAACUUGAGCCACACUGAAUUCUUAGCACUUAAAAUAUUUACUGACCACAUAUGUGUUCCAAGCACUGUGCGUGGUAUAGAAUUACAUGAGUGGAUAGAUGAAUUUUCUGUUUUAAAAUUGCCUUACAAAGUAUCCCCAUUUUACAGAUGAGGAAGACAAUCACUUUCUGAGAAAAGCAAACAACCAACCAAGAGAUUCCCUCAUGUUCCUUCUUACUAGCCAAUAAUUUAUACUGAAUAUGAUGACACAGAAAAAAAGAAAAAGGUAGGCCAAUUCAUAGUUCACUUUUCUUUUAGUCCUUACUUACUCAACAGUAAGCCUCAAGUAGAGGGGGUUGGAAGAAUGUGUGUGCAUCCAGAAGUGAAAUAAAAACAGUUGAGUUAGUUUUGUGUAGCAUGGUUGUGUAAGAGGAAACCCCUUUCGCUUGGCUCUCAUUUUCUCUUGCUGCCG